This is an RNA transcript of Cynara cardunculus var. scolymus (artichoke), 2926 nucleotides long. RefSeq lists it as uncharacterized. The transcript is spliced from 15 exons. Lineage: Eukaryota; Viridiplantae; Streptophyta; Magnoliopsida; Asterales; Asteraceae. The record is from RefSeq and is a predicted model, not a curated record.
GGAGGAGAUUUGUCCUCUUUGUUGCACGUCAUUCAGAUUUACCCUUUCUCCCUCUAGGGCUUCUCUUCACAAAUCUCAAUUCAAUCAAAAGGAGAGAGAAAUCGACGAUUUACAACUAGGGUUCCACUUUGUUGGGUUUCUCUGCUCCGUAUUUUGCACAUCUUCGAUCUUCAAGGAACCUUUUUCUGUAUCUUGAUUUACAUGAAUGGAUACAAGUUCAUGCCUAGAUGAUCUCAACACCCUCUCAUCCUCAUCUUUACCUUCUCAAAUCCAUCAAAAUGAUAGGAGCGUGCUUCAUUUGCUGGCAAGAAGAGAAAUAGCUCCWAGAACAGCAAAGUGCUUGCCAAAAAGGCAGUGGGGAGAAGCUUUUAAUCGGAAGCAUCAGUCAUCUGUUAAACCUGAAAGUGAAAGAGUGAGGAACUCAAGACGUGAACUUCUUUCAUGGGUGGAGGCUGAGUCAUUGCGGUGUUUAUCAGCCAAAUAUUGUCCUUUGGUGCCUUCUCCGAGGUCAACUAUUGCAGCAGCAUUUAGCGCAGAUGGCAAAAUUCUUGCKUCUACUCACGGUGACCAUACCGUUAAAAUAAUUGAUUGCCAAACUGGAAAAUGUGAAAAGGUGCUGAGUGGUCAUCGAAGAACUCCUUGGGUGGUUAGAUUCCACCCACUGCAUCCAGAAAUACUUGCGAGUGGAAGCUUGGAUCAUGAAGUUCGAUUGUGGAAUGCAAAUACAUCAGAAUGCAUAGGGUCCCGUGAUUUUUACCGCCCUAUUGCUUCCAUUGCAUUCCAUGCUGAAGGAGAACUGCUUGCCGUUGCUGCAGGCCAUAAGCUGUAUUUAUGGCAUUACAAUAGUAGAGGAGAGACUUCCUCACCUACUAUUGUAUUAAGGACGAGGCGRUCUCUUCGUGCGGUGCACUUCCAUCCACAUUCUGCUCCAUUUUUGUUAACUGCGGAGGUCAAUGAUCUUGACUCUUCGGAUUCUACAAUGGCACCUGCAACAUCUCUUCGUUAUUUGCACUAUCCUCCUCCUGCUGUAUAUAUGGGAAAUAUGCAUUCCAUUGAUCGUCUAAGUUUAGCUGCAGAGCUACCAUUGAUGCCUGUACCUCUCUUCUGUUCUCCUUCUUAUGCAACUGCCGAUUCAAGGCCACAACUACAGAUCGGCAGGAGACCUGUUGACUCAGACAACGGACAAUUAGAAUCUUCUGACCGACUUCAAGUUCUUGCAAAUGCAACUGAACUGUAUGAACAGAUGAUGGCUUCUUCUGUUCCUUCGUCGAGCACUCAUGAUACAGUAGUUGAUAGUGUAUCUAAUCCUACUCCCGGUGAAAUGCAAAGCUCUUUUUAUAGAAAUGCAAUGGAUGUCACUGGGACUACUGCGGUACAACCUCCAGUGGAGUACCAGCAAAAUGGGGCUUCUGACAUGGAUACUUCUGGUGCUGUGGGUGUCCCCGAGCCAGUGCCUAGUCAGAUGGGCGGGGCUACRGUCGAGAUUAGGCAAGAUUUAUUUAGAGAUCGUGUGUGUUGGGAAUUACCUUUCAUGCAAGGAUGGUUAGUCGGCCAAAGCCAAGCUGGCACUCAAUCAACCUUCCCUCUUACUGGCAGUACACAGGAACAUUCAGCUGGUAAUAGGGGGCCGGGACCAACUACAUUGCCACCUGAGUCAGCCUCCUCUAAUGGGGAGCUUUUAGAGGCUUCAUUGGUAAUGCCACAUGGUACAAACCGAGUGACUCUAGAGAGACCAGGUUUACGGGAUCUUUCUUCAAAUGCUGCCUCAACUUCUGCAUCCGAAUAUAGGCAAAAUGCUCUGAUCAAUGAGCCAAAUGAUGGGGGUGAUUCUUUUCCUAUCAUUAGUCGAAUACAGUCUCAACUUUCUGCAUCAUUGACUGCUACCGCUGCUGCUGAGUUGCCUUGCACUGUAAAGCUAAGAAUAUGGCCUCAUGAUUUUAAAAAUCCGUGUGCCUCCCUCAAGGCUGAACGAUGCCGUCUAAUAAUACCACAUGCAGUACUUUGUAGUGAAAUGGGGGCCCAUUUUUCACCUUGUGGGAGAUAUCUAGCUGCUUGUGUUGCAUGUGUGCUUCCUCAGUUUGAAGCUGAUCCUGGGAUACCAAACCAACUUCAUCAAGAGAGGGCUGCAACAUCUCCAACACGGCAUCCUAUUUCUGCUCGCCAAGUGAUGUAUGAACUUCGAAUAUAUUCACUCGAAGAAGCAACUUUUGGUACGGUACUUAUUUCGAGGCCGAUUAGAGCUGCUCAUUGUUUAACAUCCAUCCAGUUCUCUCCCACUUCUGAGCACAUAUUGCUUGCUUAUGGUCGACGCCACAGUUCUCUUCUCAAAAGCAUUGUUAUUAAUGGGGAGACRUCAUUAUCCAUUUACACAGUUUUGGAGGUAUAUAGAGUUUCGGACAUGGAACUUGUGAGUGUGUUACCUAGUGCAGAAGAUGAGGUCAAUGUAGCUUGCUUUCACCCCCUUGCUGGCGGAGGUCUUGUCUAUGGGACCAAGGAAGGAAAACUUAGAAUCCUUCAGUACGAUGGUGCUUAUGUGACAAAAAUCACCAGGCCCGAUCACCUUUUUGAAGCACAAACAGUUGAGGUAGAACCGUAAUGCAGGUUCAGGCGUACGCUUUAGAAUGUUAAAACGCCAACGGUGAUAUUUCACAUCGAAGGAGCAGGCAGCAGGUCUCUGAAACUUAAUGCACACAGCCAUGAGCUGAACUAGUUCCUCUUUUCUUGUUCCACAUUUUGCUUGUAUUUUAGCUACCAUUUAGGCAGAGUUUUACCAACUUGUUGUAUACCCCCAUAAAGUAGUCAUUUCCCAAUGCCUACACUUUGGAGCAUUGUAUAUUAUCAACAAACUAGUUUCUUUACUUGCACAAUUGUGGACAUCUAUAAACAUUUCUUGCUCCUGCUCUAAACUUACCUCCAUUUUUCCGUU